This 3099-nucleotide long non-coding RNA is filed under the name Homo sapiens (human). RNAcentral's name for it is "HSALNT0389420". Lineage: Eukaryota; Metazoa; Chordata; Mammalia; Primates; Hominidae. The record is from RNAcentral.
CAAGAACCCCUAAAGCUUCACAGGAGAGAAUCCGUGUAGGCCUGGCUCCCAACACCAGAAGGACAGAAAGAUGGCUGAGCUUGCUGCAUAACAACCACGAGGGGAACUUGUCAGAAAUACAGAUCCCAGGUUCCAGGUCCCAGGUCCCAGUGAGUCUCACUCAGUAAGUCUUUGCUCCUGCCUAGGAAUCUGUGGUUCAAGCAAGCAUCCCAGCCCCUAUUCCACAGCAUUGACUCCUGUACACACAGAUCAGCUUGUGUUAUUUCCAUCAUCAUUACCUGAUGCCUCAUCCCUCUCCACAGCUGUACUCAGCUUCUUAAUGGCAAGUACUGAGAGUUAUUUAGAGGAGAGAGAACAAGAGAGAGAAGGAUACCCAAUAUCCCGCACCAACUGUUGAGUAGGGCAAUUAAUUGAAGAACAUGGAGAUAGUAUGCAUAUUGUCAAAAAUAUGUGAUACUUUUCCAGCAAAUAUUUAUGGUGUAUCUGCUAUGUGCCAAGCAGUGGACAUACAGGAGUGAACAACAGGGUCAUGAUUCCUCUGUGGGAAAUAUGGAUUUCCCAAGAAGGUGAUGGAGGCCCAGUCAUGGGUGAAAUACAGGGUGCUGGAGAGCACUUAGGUCUAAGCACCUCUUCUCCCAUUGAAAGGGUGGACCAGCUGUCCAGGAUAUGGCUUUUAGCAUGAGACCGCAAAGAUAAGGAGUUAGCAAUGCCUGGAAAGGGACAGGAAGAAGACUGUUCCAAGCAGAGAGAACAGCAGGUGGAACACCAGAGAACAUGUGAGUGCAAGAAAAGGAGUGAUGUGGCUGGAUGUUAGGCAGUGAAGGAGCACAAAGAGAAACAAGCAGCACCAGACCAGACAGAAACUUGGUUUUGUUUUGUUUUUUUGUUUUGAGACAGGAUCUUGCUCUGUUGCCCAGGCUGGAUGCAGUGGCAGCAUCAGGGCUUAUUGAAGCCUCAAACUGGGCUCAGGUGAUCCUUCUGCCUCCAGCCUCCCGAGUGGCUAAGGCUGCAGGUGCAUACCACCACGCCUGGCUAAUUUUUGUAUUUUGUUGUAGAGACAGAGUCUCACUAUGUUGUCCAGCCUGGUCUCGAACUCCUGAGCUCAAGCAAUCCUGCCACCUCAGCCUCCCAAAGUGUUGGGACUACAGAUAUGAGCCACCAUGCCAGGCAAAUAGGAACUUGUGAACCAUGCCAAGGGGCUUGGAGUUUAAGAACAAGAGGGUCUUGCCAAAGAGUUCGUGCAGUAAACCUAAACGAGAAAUGGUGGUGGCCAGAGUAAGGGUGGGGGCUGGGGGUGUGGGUAGGAAGGGGUGAAGAGAGAUGUCGAGGAGGUAGAUACAUGGACUUGGUGAUUGAUUGGUCAGGGUUGAAGAGAGAAGGACAGUCCAGGUGGUCCAGGACUUCAGUGGCAUCCUUCACCAAAGGGAAAGGAAGACAUUCCUUUGAUGAUGGUUGCAAGGAUGGGUGGAGAUGGAGGCGAACUAGAUUCAGGCUAGUCACAUUCCAUAUGUCUUUGGGACAUGUGAAGGAGACAACAUUCAACAGGCAGUUGACUGUGUAACAGUAAUAACAAAAACUCAACUAAGCCCUCACAAUAACCUCAGGAGAAAUGAAACUAAGGUACAGAGAAGUUGAGUAACUUGCUCAAGGUCACACAGCACAUAGUGGCAAAGGCAGUUCCAUACACAGACAUUCAGGUUCCAGAGCUCAUGUGAGGGCUCUGAAACUCAGGAGAGAGCCAGCCGGGUCCACAUGUGGCUAACUCACCACCGAAGCCACAAGAACAAGAAUGAUGAGUGAGGGGAACGAAGGGGCUAGGCAGAACUUGAGGAACACCAAUGCUAGAGGCCUGGGCUGGGACAGGAAGCCAAAAAAAGAGCUACAAUAAUCUGAUCUUCGACAAAGCUGACAAAAACAGCAAUGGGGAAAGGAUUCCCUAGUCAAUAAACGGUGCUGGGGUAACUGGUUAGCCAUAUGCAGAAGACUGAAACUGGACUUCUUCCUUACACCAUACACAAAAAUCAAUUCAAGAUGGAUUAAAGACUCAAAUGUUAAACCCCAAACUAUAAAAACUCUGGAAGACAACCUAGGCAAUACCAUCCUGGACAUAGGAACUGGCAAAGAUUUCAUGGCAAAAAUGCCAAAAAUAAUCGCAACAAAAGCAAACAUUGACAAGUGGGAUCUAAUUAAACUAAAGCGCUUCUGCACAGCAAAAGAAACGAUCAACAGAGUAAACAACUUACAGAAUGAAAGAAAAUUUUUGCAAACUAUGCAUCUAAGAAAGGUCUAAUAUCCAGCGUCUGUAAGGUACUUAAAUAAAUUUACAAGAAAAUAAACCAAACAACCCCUUUAAGAAGUGGACAAAGGACAUUAACAGACCCUUUUCAAAAGGAGAUAUACAUGUGGCUAACAAGCAUAUGAAAGAAAAAUCUCAGCAUCACUGAUCAUUAGAGAAAUGCAAAUAAAAACCACAGUGAAAUACCAUCUCAAACCAGUCAGAAUGGCUGUUUUUUAAACAUCAAUAAAAUAAGAUGCUGGCAAGGUUGUGGAGAAAAGGGGAUGGUUAUAUACUGUUGGUGUGAGUGUAAAUAAGUUCAACCAUUGUAGAAAGAUGUGUGGCGAUUCCUCAAGGAGCUAAAAGCAGAACUACCAUUCAACUCAGCAAUCCCAUUACUGGGUAUAUAUUCAAAGGAAUAUAAAUUGUUCUACCAUAAAGAUACCUGCAUGUGUAUGUUCACUGCAGCACUAUUCACAAUAGCAAAGACAUGGAAUCAACCUAAAUGCCCAUUAAUGGCAGACCUUUGCAGGAACAUGGAUGGAGCUGGAGGUCAUUAUCCUUGGCAAACUAACACAGGAAUGGAAAACCUCUGCACAUUCUCACUUAUAAGUGGGAGCUAAAUGAUGAGAACACGUGGACAUAAAGAGGGGAACAACAGACACCAGGACCUACUUGAGGGUGGAGAUUGGGAGGAGGGAGACGACCAGAAAAAAUAACUAUUGGGUACUAGGAUUAGUACCUGGGUGAUGAAAUAAAUCUAUGUAACAAACCCCUGUGACAUGUACACAGUUUACCUAUAUAACAAACUGCACAUAUACCCC